This is a non-coding RNA of Oryza sativa Japonica Group (Japanese rice), 1593 nucleotides long. Lineage: Eukaryota; Viridiplantae; Streptophyta; Magnoliopsida; Poales; Poaceae. The record is from RefSeq and is a predicted model, not a curated record.
CAAAAGAAAAAAAAAAGGAAAAAAAGGGAUCGAGAGAUCGAUCCUGUAGCCCUAGCCGCCAGGCUCCUGCGCCCUGCCGCUCCUGCCGCGUUUCUACCACCACCGGCGCCGUCUCUACGCCGCCGCCGUUGGUGCAGUGUCGCCGGUCGCCACCACCACCGUCGCCGCUGUGCUGCUGCUCCGUUUUCUGCUGCUGUUCGGUGGAUUGAUUUGCAGAGCAGCAGUAGCCAACAACUAGGGGGCAGGGCAGGAAGAGCAGAGAAGUCAAGGAAUUGGGAGGAAGAGAGGCAAGGUACCUAAUGACAUCGAUCAACAUGGGGCGGGAGUAGCACCCUUGGACUACACAUUAUUAUUGCACACAACUGAAAUUUAGUUUUAGAUUAUACUUUGCUCAGCAUAAGUUUUGCAUAGAAGUUGUAAGGGUCAUUAAGGUUCUGAUUCUUAUUUUUCACGUGGGAUUUGUGGAGCUAGGAUGGUUUGGAUUGUGUGGAUUAUAUCGGUAUUGACUUUUCUUAUAACUGCCUGUCGUGGAUGUCCAUAUUUUUAGGGGAGACUGGCGAAAUUUCUAAUAAUUUUAGGAUUAGUUUUUGAGUGUAUUUUGGUAUGGCAUUCUAGGUACGUGGUUACUGGGGGUGUUACAGCGUCAACCAAGAAUCAUGCCAUGAUGUGAUUUCAGUUCCAUUUUAAUCUUCUAAUUACCUGCCAUGAUUUUAGGUGACUGAUAUCUGGUUCCCUUCUCUAGUUCUCUUGUUCUGCAGCUGCUCCUCUGGAUUCUGAUUCAAGGAUUCUCCCGAUGGAACUCUAAUUUCUCCUCUUUAAACUCGGGCACCUCCAGAUUGAUUUGUACUAUGGCAUACUAAUCCUGGAACUAAAACUCCUUUCUUUACUUGAAACUCAGGUACUUCUUCUUGGCUCUUGCUCUACUGGUACUGCUUCCUGCCAUCUUUCUUGAUCUGCUGACUGCUACUGCUAUGGUUAAUUGAUGUAUUGAUUUGUGCUGGAUUUCACUGAGCUACUACAGCUGUUGUUGCUCUUCUAAGCGGAGCCAUACUACUCUACUACUGUUGCAACUGCUGCUAAUGCUGUUCCUCGAGGUUGUCUCCCAGCCAAAACAACAUGAUGGCUAGUCUACUAGCUAGGCUAAUAUUUGUAUGUAAUUUGUGAGGGCAUGGUGAUGCAGCUGCUUGCAUGUCGGUUUGGAAAAGGAUUUGCUGCCACAUUUUUCACCUAAUCAAUUUGGGGUGAAAAAGGUAAUUUCCUCUUUGAUGUCAUUUUGGUGAUUACAUGGAAACUAAAGUCAGUAAAUUAUAAUUACUGCAGGAAAUUGGUUUUAUACGUAUACCUAUGGAAUUCUUACAUUCUAGUCCUUAAGGUUUCAUAAUAUUUAAGAUUUUACUAGAGCUCGAGGGCUGAUUGGUAAUUGCUCUAGUUUUAUUUUCAUUUUCACAAUUCCUCUAUUGAUUUGUAUAUAAUAGCUAUGAGUUGAGUAUGUUACAGAACAUUUGCAAAGCAUAAUAUGGAUGUAUGCAUGCAUGCAUGUAUGCAGAUAUACACUGAUCAUUUGUGAAUAAAGUGUCGUAACUUCUAUUGUGA